AUGAUCUCUACAUCCCUACUGCUGCUAGCAGCCGUACACUGUGUUCACUGUGUUGAGCUGAUCCAGCCCGGAUCCACAGUAUUAACCCCUGGUCAGUCAAUGACUCUGACCUGCAAAGUGUCUGGAUAUUCAUUAACUGAUAGAACUUACUGUACAGACUGGAUACGACAACCUGCAGGAAAAGCUCUGGAAUGGAUCGGAUGUAUAUGUGGUAGCGGUAGCACAUUAUACAGUGAGAAACUGAAAAGCAGCUUUCAGGUUUCCAGAGACACGUCUAGCAGCACAGUAACAUUAACAGGACAGAACAUGCAGACUGAAGACACAGCUGUGUAUCACUGUGCUCGUUACCCACAGUGAGACAGAUCAACAAUAAACCUGU
Molecule: non-coding RNA, 379 nt
Organism: Ictalurus punctatus (channel catfish)
Lineage: Eukaryota; Metazoa; Chordata; Actinopteri; Siluriformes; Ictaluridae
Source: the annotation of a RefSeq genome assembly